Molecule: long non-coding RNA, 499 nt
Filed under: Dendronephthya gigantea
Lineage: Eukaryota; Metazoa; Cnidaria; Anthozoa; Malacalcyonacea; Nephtheidae
Description: uncharacterized LOC114519686
Source: RNAcentral
AUUUUCUGGUGAUACCAGUACGGUCAACAUCGGAUGCCAGUAACAGACAAGAGUGAUUGAGAAAUAUAUAUCAGAAUCAUUAAUCUUCGCCAACUACGAACAUGAAGACUAUCCUCCUUAUUGCCUUGUUGUUCUCAGCCAUCCUUUCAACAACUCAAGCUCUUAGUUGUCUCCCAUGUCCCCAAGUAACUUGCCGUUUACCAUCCGAGCUUAACUGCAAAGGAGGACUAGCGCGAGACCCUUGUGGUUGUUGUGAUGAGUGUGCAAAGGUCGAAGGAGAGGAAUGUGGAGGACCAUGGCACUUAGCUGGCUUCUGCGACACUGGUUUGAAAUGUGUUUACAAAGGUGGCAAUGAACACAAUAUCAAUGCUGUUGGGCUAUGCAAAAAAUCAAGGAAAUUGUUCAAGGUUACAAGCUAAAUGAGGAGCAACAAGAAUGCAAAAAUGCUUUGAAGAAGCUCUUGAACAGUUUUUAUUUAACCAGGUCUCAUUAUAACAUU